This is a long non-coding RNA of Odocoileus virginianus texanus, 375 nucleotides long. RefSeq lists it as uncharacterized. The record is from RefSeq and is a predicted model, not a curated record. Lineage: Eukaryota; Metazoa; Chordata; Mammalia; Artiodactyla; Cervidae.
CUGGAUUCUGUCUGUGGGCAUUUAGAACUGGCACUCACCAGAGCUUGCCUCAUUUGGUUACUGGCACGGAGGCAGGGAUAGAUUCCAGACAUGGAGUUACUUUAUCAAAGUCUUUUUACAGCAAAUGUUUUUCCAAGAGUUUAUAUAAAUUUUCAGAACCAUCAAGAUAUAUGGUAGUACCCAUUUUACUACAUUCUCACCAGCACCAAAUAAAACAGCAAUCACAAAAAUAACUUUGCCAAUCAGCAACAUGGAUGGACCCUAGAAAUUACCAUACUAAGUGAAGAUGAUUCAGUGCUGAAAGCACAUAAAAAUCAAGUUCUCGUACAUGAUGACAACUGGAUCCCUCUACUGAACCGCAGUGAGGAAACUGAG